UUCCUCUCUUCUUUUCCUCCCUUUCUACUCUCUCUCUCUCUCUCUCUCUCUCUCUCUCUUCAAACACUUACUUUCAUUUUUCCUGAAAUCCAAACAAAAAAAAAUCUUUCAUUUCUCUCACUUUAUUCUCUCCAAGCUAAGAUCUAAAAGGAGUAGAAGGAAAAAAAAAAAAAUAAUAAUAAAGAAGGCUAAGGAGAAGAAAGAAGGUUUUAGAGAGGGUGGUGGGUGGUGGGUGGGAUUGAUUGGCUUUAUGAAUUCAGAGCUUCUGAUGAGAAGAAGAUCAUGGGCGGAGUUACAUCGUCAAUCGCCGCCAAAUUCGCCUUCUUUCCGCCUAAUCCGCCGUCGUACAAAGUGAUCUCCGACGAGUCGUCUGGUGGCAAACUUGUAAUUCCAGAUGUCCCCAGGAGAGACGAUGUUGAUGUUCUCAAGCUCAAGACUCGUCGUGGUAAUGAAAUUGUGGCCAUUCACGUCAAGCAUCCCAAGGCUUCUGCUACUCUGCUCUACUCCCAUGGAAAUGCUGCUGAUUUGGGCCAGAUGUUCGAGCUCUUUGUCGAAUUGAGUGCUCGUCUUCGCGUUAACUUGAUGGGGUAUGACUACUCUGGCUAUGGACAAUCUACUGGAAAGCCAACAGAAUGCAAUACAUAUGCAGACAUUGAUGCAGCAUAUAAAUGCCUCAAGGAGCAGUAUGGGGUUAAAGAUGAACAAUUAAUAUUAUAUGGUCAGUCUGUUGGUAGUGGUCCAACAGUUGAUCUUGCAUCACGUUUAACCACCUUGAGAGGCGUUGUUUUACAUAGUCCAAUUUUGUCUGGCCUUAGGGUGUUGUACCCCGUCAAGCGGACAUUCUGGUUUGACAUUUACAAGAACAUUGACAAAAUCAGUAUGGUGAGCUGUCCUGUUCUGGUUAUACAUGGGACAUCUGAUGAAGUUGUAGAUUGGUCUCACGGAAAGCAGCUUUGGGAGCUUUGCAAUGAAAAGUACGAACCUUUAUGGAUUAGCGGGGGUGGACACUGUAAUCUUGAGCUUUACCCAGAAUUCCUUAAACAACUAAAGAAAUUUGUACAGACCCUUGGCAAAUCAAAACCGGGUGGCACAAAUGGUCUGAAAAAGAGUACGGUAGAAUCUGACAAUCAGAGCAAGCAGUCGGAGUCUGGAACCUCAGAUACAUUCGAGUUGGGUACUGACCUUCCAGAAGUUUCUAGAAACAGUUUAGAUAGUCGACUUGAGAAGACUAAAAAGUCAAACAAGCCUGAAAAGUCCCGGAUGAGCACUGACCGAGUUGACAGGUUUAGGAGAAGAAAGGGUUUAGUUUGGUGAUUUGUUAUUACACGGAACAUUUAAAAAUAAAUUAUCCACGCUUAUAAUUGAGGAGAGUCGAUUUCUUUGAUGCUGAGGUUGGUUUGCCAUCCAAGGAAACCUCUGUGGGACAUUAUUGAGGAUAUCAAGGAAUUUUGGUCUAGGUUAAGAAAUUCCCAGGAGGUUCUGUAUCUCAAAAGAACCGAGCACAGCUGCAGAUUGGCUUGCCAAAUCAGUAAGAAGGAGCUUCUCCAUGGUUGGGUCUAAAGUUGGCUUUAUAUAUAUUUUUAAUAUUAGUUAUAUUAUUCCUAACUUAAGUAGGAGGGUAAUAUUAUUUAUUUAUUUUUUCGGGCAAAAUGGGUAUGGGGUUAAAAAUAUACGCAUUAAUAUAUUAGGAUGCAUAUCUUCUAUUCCCUUUUAUUUUUUUAUUAUUAUUUCUUGAUCUCCAUUACCAUUCAAUCAUAGAUCAAUUUCCACUUUAUGUUAGAAAACUUGUAUUUUCAUUUUCUGUUAAUUAUUUAUUUAUUUAUUUGUUAAUAUUUUUAAAUGAAAUUACAUUACAUCAAUAGUGGACAGGGUGGGAAUAGGGGGUGUAUGUAGCCAAAAGAGAGAUUAGGAUUGAUCCGGAAGGUGGGAGUUGUAAUAGCAGUGUUUUUGUUCCGGUGUUUGAAUAGGCGGCUCAGGGUGUUGAAGCUAGGAAUAAGACUAUCAGCGAUGCUUUUGAUGAAGGUUUUGAAUUGAGGUGGUAAAAUGGUGGUGAUCAGGUUGAAUGUGAGAGAUGUGAGAGAUCAGGUGGUAGUUAUUCUUAUUUGUUAUUAAAAAGAAAAAGAAAAAGAUUUCACAUAUAAUAAAAGAUAAUAAAAUUAGAUGAGAAACUACUGUAAGUUUCAUGUCUUAUAAACCAAAUUAGUAUUACUCCUGCUGGAUUGAAUCACAUUGACACUAUUCGGAUUAUGAGCUAAGCUAAGAUAACUUCAAUGGUCUGCAGCUGAUUUGGAGAUAUACCUAGAAACGGAGUUAAUCCCCAAAAAGACCUUAUUGCGUAAGGUCGACUGCACCGACCUUCAUUAAUGUCCUUGACUUGACUAGUUGACUUGGUCCUGUCCUGGGUUUUAUUUUAUUCCAGCUUUCACUUUUCUAAUUUCUAAUGCUGUGUAUUUUUUCCUUCUCUUCCCACUAUAAUGGCUUUUAUUUAUUUAUUUAUUUAUUAUUAUUUUUAAUUUUUGAAGGAAUCCCACCAUAAUGUCUUAUCUAACUCUUUAAAGUUUCUAGUUUUCU
This is an RNA transcript of Ziziphus jujuba (common jujube), 2571 nucleotides long. RefSeq lists it as uncharacterized. NCBI's taxonomy places the organism in Eukaryota, Viridiplantae, Streptophyta, Magnoliopsida, Rosales, Rhamnaceae. The record is from RefSeq and is a predicted model, not a curated record. The transcript has 6 exons.